Molecule: long non-coding RNA, 444 nt
Filed under: Androctonus crassicauda
Lineage: Eukaryota; Metazoa; Arthropoda; Arachnida; Scorpiones; Buthidae
Source: RNAcentral
AGGGAAAGGCUCAACGGUGCCGUCGGAUGCUCAAGCCAGAGAAAAGUAAGUACCAACGUCUACCAUUGUCCGUACCAACGUCGUCCGGCCACCGUCCGGCUGUUAAAUGGGAGAGCGCUUCGUCAACAUGGCGUGAAUCGCUUACUAUACAUUUUCUCCUUCGUUUACUAUCCUCGCGCGCGCGCGUACCGUUUACCUUACCUCGUUCGCACCAUUACUACUAUAACCUUUCUUUUUAUGUACUUUUGUAAAUGGAGUUUUUACAUAGCCGGACGUGCACGCUCGGUUUAUGCAUAUGGCUGAGAUGGACGGUUCCAUCACGGUACGCGGGGGUGUAAUGGCGAAAUGUGUGUUGUUUUGACGUUGUUUUCUUUUGUCUUUCAGGUUAGCACUUUACGUUUAUGAAUACCUGUUACACGUAGGAGCCCAGAAAGCGGCGCAGAC